UUCCAGCUCCAAUAGCGUAUAUUAAAGUUGUUGCGGUUAAAAAGCUCGUAGUUGGAUUUCUGGAUUGGGCGGCUGGCCUUGCGCGCAAGCGUUCGUGUCGGCUUCGUUUCGGUCCAUCCUCAGGGGGACUUGCGCUGGCAUUAACGUGUCGGUGUUGGGACGCCUGUCGUUUACUGUGAACAAAUUAGAGUGUUCAAAGCAAGGUGUACUUGAAUACAUUAGCAUGGAAUAAUAAGAUAGGACUUUGGUGGUUCUUUUUGAUAUUUUGUUGGUUUGCACGCCAAAGUAAUGAUUAAUAGGAGCAGUUGGGGGUAUUCGUAUUCAAUUGUCAGAGGUGAAAUUCUUGGAUUUAUAGAAGACGAACUACUGCGAAAGCAUUUACCAAGGAUGUUUUCAUUG
This 399-nucleotide ribosomal RNA is filed under the name Pseudopedinella sp. RNAcentral's name for it is "partial small subunit ribosomal RNA". It matches the Rfam family "Eukaryotic small subunit ribosomal RNA", at positions 583 to 975 of the family's 1831-position model. Lineage: Eukaryota; Dictyochophyceae; Pedinellales. The record is from RNAcentral.